Molecule: unclassified non-coding RNA, 1273 nt
Filed under: Hevea brasiliensis (rubber tree)
Lineage: Eukaryota; Viridiplantae; Streptophyta; Magnoliopsida; Malpighiales; Euphorbiaceae
Source: RNAcentral
GUCCAGCUAUUGAGCAUAAUCUUCCGAUUUCUCCUUUCUCUCGACCAAAAUAGCUGCGGGAGUGAGGUUAAGCCUCCGGAAGUGAAAGAAAAAGUCUCUCUGCGCUUUUGCUUUGCUGUAGACUGCUGCUGGUAGGUAAACUUAUUCUUCAAUGGCGGCGGCGAGGAUAAGAGUAUCAUCAAUCUUGGCAAUAACAGUAAUUGCAGCCUCUCUCAGUUUGGCAUCUACCACCACUCCUCAGGUUGAUUUUGUGAAGAAAACCGUAUCUUCCCACAAGAUCGUCAUCUUCUCCAAGUCGUAUUGCCCAUACUGUAGGAGGGCCAAAGCUGUUUUUGAAGAAUUGAAGGAGGUACCACACGUUGUUGAGCUGGAUCAGAGAGGUUUGUUCACAAACUUCAUCAUCAAUUUCAAUGCUGAAGCAGAAUGUAGAUCUAAUCAUAGAGAAAUUUUGAACGACAAGACCUAAUCUACUUAAUGUCCCUGCCCCCUCCAACGCGCACACAUAAAAAUCUAAUUAUAAAAAUAACAGGAAAUCAAGGAAUAACUAAACUUGCUUCCUUGUUAUAGCAAUAUGCUUUGCUUGAUAUUGUUGUGUAAAUCUCCUGCCUCUGUUUUGAGCUCUGCUUUAAAUAUUGGCAUGCAUAAGGCUAUAUUUUAGUAACAAUGGAUUGCUUGGUAGAGCAAGUUACAUUUUUGGCAUUUGAACUUUAAAUUUUAUCCAGUGCUUGUGUGAUUUGGCUGGAAAGUAACCAAUUAUCCUACAGAUGAUGGGCAGGACAUUCAAGAUGCCCUGAGUAAAAUUGUUGGUAGGCGUACAGUUCCGCAAGUUUUCAUAAAUGGAAAGCACAUUGGUGGCUCUGAUGAUACAGUUGAAGCUUAUAAAAGUGGAGAACUGGCUAAGCUUCUAGGUAUUGCUGGUAAGGAUGAUCUCUGAUCCAGUACUAUACUCGGUGUCAGUUACCAGAAUAAUGUGCCAAAGCAAUGCACAUGAUGUGACUUUUUCUACUGUUGGACAAGACCGUUAAAAUGGUUUUGCAUUCUGAUUCAAUAUGGCCAUCAAUAUAUGGGCAAAUUAUUAAAACUAUGCUUGUUUCUUCAUUGGUUCUAUCCAAGUAUCGUGGACAGUUUUCUCAAUUUUUUUUACCCCUCCAGGUUGCACAGAAUAAAAUUAUGGAUAUAGCUUUACAUUUUAUCUAUGCUCGUCGAAUAUGUUGGUUAGGAAAAGCUUUUUCAAAUUAGCAAGUGAAGUAAAAAAAAAAUGGAGUGCCAAUAU